This 497-nucleotide ribosomal RNA is filed under the name uncultured bacterium. Its description in RNAcentral is "partial 16S ribosomal RNA". It matches the Rfam family "Bacterial small subunit ribosomal RNA", at positions 29 to 507 of the family's 1533-position model. The record is from RNAcentral.
UACUAACUCUGGCGGCGUGCCUAAUACAUGCAAGUUGAGCGCUGAAGGUUGGUACUUGUACCAACUGGAUGAGCAGCGAACGGGUGAGUAACGCGUGGGGAAUCUGCCUUUGAGCGGGGGACAACAUUUGGAAACGAAUGCUAAUACCGCAUAAAAACUUUAAACACAAGUUUUAAGUUUGAAAGAUGCAAUUGCAUCACUCAAAGAUGAUCCCGCGUUGUAUUAGCUAGUUGGUGAGGUAAAGGCUCACCAAGGCGAUGAUACAUAGCCGACCUGAGAGGGUGAUCGGCCACAUUGGGACUGAGACACGGCCCAAACUCCUACGGGAGGCAGCAGUAGGGAAUCUUCGGCAAUGGACGAAAGUCUGACCGAGCAACGCCGCGUGAGUGAAGAAGGUUUUCGGAUCGUAAAACUCGGUUGGUAGAGAAGAACGUUGGUGAGAGUGGAAAGCUCAUCAAGUGACGGUAACUACCCAGAAAGGGACGGCUAACUACGUG